UUUUUGCUAAGAUGUAUGUGGGCAGAGAGAUAGGGGUGCUCUUGUGCUUGGUAGGGCCGGUGGGCCGCGAUCCCAAGGGAGGUGGCGGUGCGGGGUAGGGAGACGAGGGUCGUUGGGAGAGGUGGGAGAGGUGGGAGAGGGUAGGGGUCAGCAGUAGCAUCGGGGAGCGGCAGCAAGCUAUAGGUUCUGCCUCGGAGCCGGCUGUCGAGGAACCUCGUGCGGCGGGCGGCCACCUACGGGACUAAGACGCACUGGGUCGGUCUCUGAGUGGAGCGGUGGAACCGCGGAGGGCGUCCUAGAGGCGGUGGCGGAUCGCGAAGACACGCGUUCCUACGGCUGCGGAGAGGGACUAAGUUACUACUGUUGUGCGUGUGGAAAGGGACUACGAACCCGUUUCCGUACAUACAGCCUACACGACCGUUUUGAAAUAUCUACGUCUAAUGUAUGUAAUCUUUAACGGUUGAGCCACCUACUAUUUAUGAUACUGAACCCUGAGUCUUUUUUCUAGUUGUGCAUCUACGUCUAAUGUAUCUAGUCCUGAACGAUUGAGCCGCAUACUGUGUAUGAUUUGCUGUAGUUGUGCAUCCACUCUGGUAACUGAUAAUCUCCACUCAGCCGUUCGACAAAAGAAGAUACCAAACCGUACAUUGAAACACAAGAGAUCGAGAAAAAUCAAAAUAUAAAAAGAUUGUUUGUUCUGGUUGGAAUUGAAUUCUUCUUUUCGUAGUAAUAUUGGUACUUUUUUAUAGACGAAUUUACAAUCCGAAAACAAGCAGAUAAUUCAGUAAUGGGCAGAUUUGCUCUGUGUCUUUAUUACUUAAGAAUGUACCAUUCAAAAACAAAGUAAAAGUAAGAAACGGAAUAGGGCACAACCUUUUCUUCAAGUUAACAAAAAAAGGAGUGUUACAUGGUUUCUAAGACUACUUUCUACGAAUAAAAAGAGAGUCGAAGUUCUUUGUCAGUGAUAUAUGAGACAAAACAUAUAUAAUACAUCAACAUUCCUCUACAAAAUAAAAGAAAUAUACGAUGAUAAAAUUGUAGAACCUUCUCAGGACUUAAAUAACCUCUGUUGUUUCACCCGCAUGGUACACUCAAUAAACCGUGGAACUACGUCGUUUAGUUGUGUACAAACUCGAUGUUGCCUCCAGUGAAUUUAUUUAGUCUCCUUAUCUGAGCCGUUCCUUCCCUCGAUGAGGUCACAUCAGCCACCUUAACUGACCGUUUCAUUUAGUACUUCGAGGACCAACCUGGUUCUCCGACUCUUAACCCCGACGUGGAGGAUGUUGUCAGUUAAAGCAGCCACCGGACGGUUGUUGUGACCACUUCCUUGUUCCCACCGGGCUCUGGCUAUUGUCCCCCGAGAACUUGACCGUUUCGGUCUUCGGUGGUAGCGAAGUAACAGGGGCCUCUAGCAAACCACUACAGGCUACCUAUAGUGCACUGCCUCACCUCUGCGUGUGAGGGGACGGGGUUGAAACCACGGCGGUGGAUGGAUACGCCCCGUGUCAGGACGGACUGGGUCGGAUGUAGAACUAACAUUUAAAGAGAGUGGAAGAUAGAGCACAAGUACACCAGCAUAACUAAAACGGAAAACUCUUCACAACUUUCUUCUAAUACACGAAGUCUGCUGACUUACAGGUCAUUAUAGUAGUUGGAAGUCAGUCGUCGCCGAGGCUUGAGAUAGUGGAGUUUACCAAAUCGUAUCUAGUAAGUGUACACUCCUACUUUCGAACCUAGUCGAAGACAUCAGCGAUAGAAAGUAAAUGUUGGCUCAAAAGAAUACCAAUAUCCUAUCUUUGAAACAUAAUAAAAAGGUAGAAGAAAGGAAGCACUUUGAUCGACGUCGUUCAUCGUUAAAUUUAACUACGCUCUUUCAUAGAUAGAAAUUACAGG
RNAcentral lists this ribosomal RNA (1893 nucleotides) under Triticum aestivum (bread wheat). RNAcentral's name for it is "partial small subunit ribosomal RNA". Lineage: Eukaryota; Viridiplantae; Streptophyta; Magnoliopsida; Poales; Poaceae. The record is from RNAcentral.